UACGGAAGGUCCGAGCGUUAUCCGGAUUUAUUGGGUUUAAAGGGAGCGUAGGCGGAUUGUUAAGUCAGCGGUAAAAGCCCGGGGCUCAACCCCGGCGAGCCGUUGAAACUGGCAGUCUCGAGUUGGAGAGAAGUAUGCGGAAUGCGCGGUGUAGCGGUGAAAUGCAUAGAUAUCGCGCAGAACUCCGAUUGCGAAGGCAGCAUACCGGCGCUCAACUGACGCUGAGGCACGAAAGCGUGGGGAUCGAACAGG
RNAcentral lists this ribosomal RNA (252 nucleotides) under uncultured Bacteroidales bacterium. RNAcentral describes it as "partial 16S ribosomal RNA". It matches the Rfam family "Bacterial small subunit ribosomal RNA", at positions 524 to 776 of the family's 1533-position model. The record is from RNAcentral. Lineage: Bacteria; Pseudomonadati; Bacteroidota; Bacteroidia; Bacteroidales.